RNAcentral lists this ribosomal RNA (470 nucleotides) under Bacillus sp. NP2(2010). RNAcentral describes it as "bacterial SSU rRNA". It matches the Rfam family "Bacterial small subunit ribosomal RNA", at positions 33 to 482 of the family's 1533-position model. The record is from RNAcentral. Lineage: Bacteria; Bacillati; Bacillota; Bacilli; Caryophanales; Bacillaceae.
GCGACGCUGGCGGCGUGCCUAAUACAUGCAAGUCGAGCGGAUCGCAUGGGAGCUUGCUCCCUGAGAUCAGCGGCGGACGGGUGAGUAACACGUGGGUAACCUGCCUGUAAGACUGGGAUAACUCCGGGAAACCGGGGCUAAUACCGGAUAACACCUACCCCCGCAUGGGGGAAGGUUGAAAGGUGGCUUCGGCUAUCACUUACAGAUGGACCCGCGGCGCAUUAGCUAGUUGGUGAGGUAACGGCUCACCAAGGCGACGAUGCGUAGCCGACCUGAGAGGGUGAUCGGCCACACUGGGACUGAGACACGGCCCAGACUCCUACGGGAGGCAGCAGUAGGAAUCUUCCGCAAUGGACGAAAGUCUGACGGAGCAACGCCGCGUGAGUGAAGAAGGUUUUCGGAUCGUAAAACUCUGUUGUUAGGGAAGAACAAGUGCCGUUCGAAUAGGGCGGCACCUUGACGGUACCUAA